GACGAACGCUGGCGGCGUGCUUAACACAUGCAAGUCGAACGGGCCUUGUCCCCUUUUUUUUUGGGGGUGGGGUUAGUGGCGAACGGGUGAGUAACACGUGAGUAACCUGCCCCUCACUUCUGGAUAACCGCUUGAAAGGGUGGCUAAUACGGGGUGUUCUGGCCUGCUCGCAUGGGUGGGUUUGGAAAGAUUCGACCGGUUUUGGUUGUUUUGGUGGGGGAUGGGCUCGCGGCCUAUCAGCUUGUUGGUGGGGUGAUGGCCUGCCAAGGCUUUGACGGGUAGCCGGCCUGAGAGGGUGGGCGGUCACACUGGGGCUGAGACACGGCCCAGACUCCUACGGGAGGCAGCAGUGGGGAAUAUUGCACAAUGGGCGCAAGCCUGAUGCAGCGACGCAGCGUGAGGGAUGGAGGCCGUCGGGUUGUGAACCUCCUUCGCCAGUGAAGAAGGUCCUGCUCUUUGUGGUGGGGUUGACGGUAGCUGGGUUAAUGAAGCGCCGGCUAACUACGUG
This 508-nucleotide ribosomal RNA is filed under the name uncultured bacterium. RNAcentral's name for it is "partial 16S ribosomal RNA". It matches the Rfam family "Bacterial small subunit ribosomal RNA", at positions 28 to 507 of the family's 1533-position model. The record is from RNAcentral.